RNAcentral lists this ribosomal RNA (224 nucleotides) under uncultured bacterium. RNAcentral's name for it is "partial 16S ribosomal RNA". It matches the Rfam family "Bacterial small subunit ribosomal RNA", at positions 15 to 230 of the family's 1533-position model. The record is from RNAcentral.
GAUCAUGGCUCAGGAUGAACGCUAGCUACAGGCUUAACACAUGCAAGUCGAGGGGCAGCAUGGUCUUAGCUUGCUAAGGCCGAUGGCGACCGGCGCACGGGUAAGUAACACGUAUCCAACCUGCCGUUUACUCUUGGACAGCCUUCUGAAAGGAAGAUUAAUACAAGAUGGCAUCAUGAGUUCACAUGUUCACAUGAUUAAAGGUAUUCCGGUAGACGAUGGGG